This 253-nucleotide ribosomal RNA is filed under the name uncultured bacterium. RNAcentral describes it as "partial 16S ribosomal RNA". It matches the Rfam family "Archaeal small subunit ribosomal RNA", at positions 474 to 727 of the family's 1478-position model. The record is from RNAcentral.
UACCCGCAGCUCAAGUGGUGGUCAUUAUUAUUGGGCCUAAAGCGUCCGUAGCUGGCUUGUUAGAUGCCUGGGUAAAUCGAUGCGCUUAACGCAUCGAAUUCCGGGUAGACCGGCAAGCUCGAGACCGGGAGAGGCGUGAGCUACUCGAGGGGUAGGGGUAAAAUCCCGUAAUCCUUCGGGGAGGACCAGUGGCGAAGGCGUCACGCUAGAACGGCUCUGACAGUGAGGGACGAAGCCCUGGGGCGCAAACCGG